AGGGUUCGAGUUCUGGCGUCAGAACGAACGCUGGCGGCAUGGAUUAGGCAUGCAAGUCGAACGAAGCAGCAAUGCUUAGUGGCGCAAGGGUGAGGAACACGUGAGUGACCUACCCGCAAGUUUGGAACAGCUCCUGGAAACGGGAAUUAAUACCGGAUGUGAUCAUGAAGCUGCAUGGUUUCAUGAUUAAAGCAGUAAUGCGCUUGCGGAUGGGCUCGCGUCCCAUUAGCUAGUUGGUGAGGUAACGGCCCACCAAGGCCAUGAUGGGUAGCUGGUCUGAGAGGACGACCAGCCACACUGGGACUGAGAACUGCCCAGACUCCUACGGGAGGCUGCAGUCGAGAAUUUUGGGCAAUGGACGAAAGUCUGAACCCCCAGCAAUGCCGCGUGCGGGAUGAAGGUCUUCGGAUUGUAAACCGCUGUUUGGAGGGACGAAAAUUGACGGUACUUCCAGAGGAAGCCACGGCUAACUACGUGCCAGCAGCAGC
This 488-nucleotide ribosomal RNA is filed under the name uncultured bacterium. RNAcentral's name for it is "bacterial SSU rRNA". It matches the Rfam family "Bacterial small subunit ribosomal RNA", at positions 1 to 518 of the family's 1533-position model. The record is from RNAcentral.